This 435-nucleotide ribosomal RNA is filed under the name uncultured bacterium. RNAcentral's name for it is "partial 16S ribosomal RNA". It matches the Rfam family "Bacterial small subunit ribosomal RNA", at positions 28 to 507 of the family's 1533-position model. The record is from RNAcentral.
GAUGAACGCUGGCGGUAUGCUUAACACAUGCAAGUCGAACGGACUCUUCGGAGUUAGUGGCGGACGGGUGAGUAACGCGUGAGAAUCUGGCUUUGGGUUCGGGACAACCACUGGAAACGGUGGCUAAUACCGGAUGUGCCGAGAGGUAAAAGAGAAAUUGCCUGAAGAUGAGCUCGCGUCUGAUUAGCUAGUUGGUGGGGUAAAGGCUCACCAAGGCAGCGAUCAGUAGCUGGUCUGAGAGGAUGACCAGCCACACUGGGACUGAGACACGGCCCAGACUCCUACGGGAGGCAGCAGUGGGGAAUUUUCCGCAAUGGGCGAAAGCCUGACGGAGCAAUACCGCGUGAGGGAAGAAGGCUCUUGGGGUGUAAACCUCUUUUCUUAGGGAAGAACAAAAUGACGGUACCUAAGGAAUCAGCAUCGGCUAACUCCGUG